CCUACGGGUGGCAGCAGUGGGGAAUAUUGCACAAUGGGGGAAACCCUGAUGCAGCGACGCCGCGUGAGCGAUGAAGUAUUUCGGUAUGUAAAGCUCUAUCAGCAGGGAAGAAAAUGACGGUACCUGAUUAAGAAGCCCCGGCUAACUACGUGCCAGCAGCCGCGGUAAUACGUAGGGGGCAAGCGUUAUCCGGAUUUACUGGGUGUAAAGGGAGCGUAGACGGCAUCACAAGCCUGAUGUGAAAUGCCGGGGCUCAACCCCGGGACUGCAUUGGAAACUGUUCAGCUGGAGUGCAGGAGAGGCAAGUGGAAUUCCUAGGGUAGCGGUGAAAUGCGUAGAUAUUAGGAGGAACACCAGUGGCGAAGGCGGCUUGCUGGACGGUAACUGACGUUGAGGCUCGAAAGCGUGGGGAGCAAACAGGAUUAGAUACACCAGUAGUC
Molecule: ribosomal RNA, 440 nt
Filed under: uncultured bacterium
Lineage: Bacteria
Description: partial 16S ribosomal RNA
Rfam family: Bacterial small subunit ribosomal RNA
Source: RNAcentral